AAAGUACUCCCUCCGUCCCAAAAUUCUUGUCUUAGAUUUGUCUAGAUACGGAUGUAUCAAGUCACAUUUUAGUAUUAGAUACAUCCGUAUCUAGACAAAUCUAUGAAAAGAAAUUUGGGACAGAGGGAGUAGUUG
Molecule: non-coding RNA, 135 nt
Organism: Triticum aestivum (bread wheat)
Lineage: Eukaryota; Viridiplantae; Streptophyta; Magnoliopsida; Poales; Poaceae
Source: Rfam